UUCCUCGCUAUGUCACCAACACGACGAAUUCAAGGCGAGCAACGGGUGCGCUGAACGAAUCGGCGGAUAAGGAUCAUGAUUAAUCUAUCUUCACACUUCGGCUGUGUCAAAAUUUUUCAGACACCCUGUGUUUACACUUAGGCAGGUAUUCAUAGUCGGAUCUUAAGACGAUCCAUCCUAUAUUAAAAAAGGCAUGUGCCAUUGUUGCCUCUUUUCCGCGUUGCCCAUUGGUCGGUUGGUUGGUCGAUCGAGAUUAAUAUAGUAUAUGUAAUGAUGAUAUAUAAUAUAAUAACGCGAGAGAAGAGAUUUUGACAGUUCGUCGUAUACANAUGGAAAAAUUUAGCGGUUAGAGAACACGUAAUAGUAAAAAGAAAAAAAUAUAAGUAUUUGAAAAGUGAGAAAGUAAAUCGGAAAAAUCGCGAAAACGAAUAGUGACGGAGAAGCGAUUUUGACAGUUCGUCGUAUAAUUGUCAAAAGUGAGGUGACAUGCAGAAUCAAAAGCUAGAUUAUUCCUCGCAGAUGACACGCGUUAAGAUGAGGUUAUUUUUUAUUUCUGUUCUUAUAAAGAGACAGAAACCAUGAGAAGCGACAGAGAAGUGGAAUGACAAACGUUCGUUUUAUCAUUUAACAAAAAAUCAUAGUGACUGCGUUAAAAUGUGAAAUAAAGCACUGGUGAUUUGCUAACUGUCAAUAUAAUCAUGGGGGAUGAGAUUUUACGUGACCAGAUAAUUGACACCAACACAUCGUAUCUGGCGAGAAGUUUCACAGCUGCUGAAGUGAACUCGCAAAGAGUCGUUGUAGUUCCCGAUGUUGUUAAGAUGGUUGUUGUGAAGGGCAGACCAAGUUUAGAUGAGUAUUUUAAGUUGCAAAAAAAAGAAAGAAUAGAAUAGAUGAACACAUCGCGAAGGUAAGAUGAAAAAGUUAAAAGCAAAAAACAGAUAAAGGUAACUUGAGCAAUCUAUUAAAGAAAUUAAAGUAUAUAUUUGAAUUUGAUAAGAUUAGAUUAUAUGUAUAUCAUUAAGAUAUAGUAGAUUAUACAUACUAUUUUUUAUACAAAUAAUACAUAUAUUUUUUUCUGCGUACGUCAAUAAAAUAUUAUUAGGUUAGGUUAUACAUACAUACAUCCCUUAAUAUUGUCAGCAUUUCUUUCUAUUUUGUUCUUUCACAAUUUUUUAAGGAAUCUAUACCUACCG
This is a long non-coding RNA of Pseudomyrmex gracilis, 1193 nucleotides long. RefSeq lists it as uncharacterized. Lineage: Eukaryota; Metazoa; Arthropoda; Insecta; Hymenoptera; Formicidae. The record is from RefSeq and is a predicted model, not a curated record. The transcript is spliced from 4 exons.